This 799-nucleotide ribosomal RNA is filed under the name uncultured Pseudomonadota bacterium. RNAcentral's name for it is "bacterial SSU rRNA". It matches the Rfam family "Bacterial small subunit ribosomal RNA", at positions 58 to 855 of the family's 1533-position model. Lineage: Bacteria; Pseudomonadati; Pseudomonadota. The record is from RNAcentral.
CAAGUCGAGCGAGGCGGCCCGCAAGGGCCAGUCGAGCGGCGAACGGGUGAGUAACACGUGGAUUAUCUGCCCUAAGGUGGGGGAUAACCCGGGGAAACUCGGGCUAAUACCGCAUGAUACCGAAAGGUCAAAGGGGGGUCGCAAGAUCUCUCGCCAUUGGAGGAGUCCGCGUCCGAUUAGCUAGUUGGUAGGGUAAUGGCCUACCAAGGCGACGAUCGGUAGCCGGCCUGAGAGGGUGAUCGGCCACACUGGAACUGAGACACGGUCCAGACUCCUACGGGAGGCAGCAGUGGGGAAUUUUGCGCAAUGGGCUAACGCCUGACGCAGCAACGCCGCGUGGAGGAUGAAGGUCUUUGGAUUGUAAACUCCUGUCAGCAGGGAAAAAGCGACUCGUGCUCAUACCACGGGGAGUUGAUUGUACCUGCAGAGGAAGCCCCGGCUAACUCUGUGCCAGCAGCCGCGGUAAUACAGAGGGGGCAAGCGUUAUUCGGAAUUAUUGGGCGUAAAGGGCGCGUAGGCGGCCUUGCAAGUGGAUGGUGAAAUCCCUCGGCUUAACCGAGGAACUGCCAUCCAGACUGCUUGGCUUGAGACCGGGAGAGGUGAGUGGAAUUCCCAGUGUAGCAGUGAAAUGCGUAGAUAUUGGGAGGAACACCAGUGGCGAAGGCGGCUCACUGGACCGGUACUGACGCUGAUGCGCGAAAGCGUGGGGAGCAAACGGGAUUAGAUACCCCGGUAGUCCACGCCGUAAACGAUGAGUGCUUGGUGUAGCGGGUAUCGACCCCUGCUGUGCCGAAGUCAA